CUUAGCUGAAGUGUGAAAAAUUUACACACUAUGAUUUACCAUUUUCUACUUUUGAAGAACCGCUGAAGCUGCACAAAUCAAUGGAAAAACUCCUACAAACAGCUGUGGGCAACAAACACAUUCAUCAGUCUCCACGUGCAUCUCAGCGACAUUACCCUGUGUCAGGAAUAGAAAUAUUGUCCUGCUAUUAGUUGCUGCUAUUUUUAUAAUCAUCAUUAACAUUUCAGUAUUAAUAGUGAGGUUGCAUUUAGAUGCAUUCAGAUGUUCAGAUAUAUGGUUAUAGCCUUUAUUACAGGUCCAAAGAAGAACCAUUUUAAAUGGUUCUGUUGAAUCUAUAAUUUGAAUGUUAUUAAUGCUUUUAUGAUCUCUGUGUAGAGGGCAGAGACAGGAAACAAAACGCGUCUGCAGAGCAUGUUUUGCAGAAGUGAAACUGAAGCCAGAAGUUUAAGUGCAAGGGUGUUUAGUAUGCAUUUAUUGCGGAUUAAGCCUUAAGCAGUUGUGGUAGAUUGAAACAGUUGUUUAUAUAUUUCACAUAUAAGUCAAGAGUGGGAGUGUCAGGAAUAGAAAUAUUGUCCUGCUAUUAGUUGCUGCUAUUUUUAUAAUCAUCAUUAACAUUUCAGUAUUAAUAGUGAGGUUGCAUUUAGAUGCAUUCAGAUGUUCAGAUAUAUGGUUAUAGCCUUUAUUACAGGUCCAAAGAAGAACCAUUUUAAAUGGUUCUGUUGAAUCUAUAAUUUGAAUGUUAUUAAUGCUUUUAUGAUCUCUGUGUAGAGGGCAGAGACAGGAAACAAAACGCGUCUGCAGAGCAUGUUUUGCAGAAGUGAAACUGAAGCCAGAAGUUUAAGUGCAAGGGUGUUUAGUAUGCAUUUAUUGCGGAUUAAGCCUUAAGCAGUUGUGGUAGAUUGAAACAGUUGUUUAUAUAUUUCACAUAUAAGUCAAGAUCAUUACACACAGGAUGGCCUUAGCCUGGUUGGUUGCUUAAGUUGAGGUCAACUAAGGAUCAGAAAAGCAGAUGCAAACUCUGCACGCACAGACAGACAAAUAGUGAGAGGUCAUGACACGUACGUAGCAUACACUGCAGACACAUACACACAGAAAUGCAGAAGUGUGCCGACGUACUUAGAGGAAGUGCACCAGACGAGCGACAGCGAAGAGGGGAAGCACCGACC
Oreochromis aureus is the source of this 1166-nucleotide long non-coding RNA. Lineage: Eukaryota; Metazoa; Chordata; Actinopteri; Cichliformes; Cichlidae. The record is from Ensembl.